GUGCUUGCUUCAGCAGCGCUUACACUAAAAUUGGAACGAUACAGAGACGAUCAGCAUGGCCCCUGUGCAGGGAUGACACGCAAGUAGGUGAAGUGUUCCAUAUUCCC
This is a small nuclear RNA of Psammomys obesus (fat sand rat), 107 nucleotides long. The record is from RefSeq and is a predicted model, not a curated record. Lineage: Eukaryota; Metazoa; Chordata; Mammalia; Rodentia; Muridae.